RNAcentral lists this ribosomal RNA (423 nucleotides) under Escherichia coli. RNAcentral's name for it is "bacterial SSU rRNA". It matches the Rfam family "Bacterial small subunit ribosomal RNA", at positions 846 to 1269 of the family's 1533-position model. Lineage: Bacteria; Pseudomonadati; Pseudomonadota; Gammaproteobacteria; Enterobacterales; Enterobacteriaceae. The record is from RNAcentral.
CCGGAGCUAACGCGUUAAGUCGACCGCCUGGGGAGUACGGCCGCAAGGUUAAAACUCAAAUGAAUUGACGGGGGCCCGCACAAGCGGUGGAGCAUGUGGUUUAAUUCGAUGCAACGCGAAGAACCUUACCUGGUCUUGACAUCCACAGAACUUUCCAGAGAUGGAUUGGUGCCUUCGGGAACUGUGAGACAGGUGCUGCAUGGCUGUCGUCAGCUCGUGUUGUGAAAUGUUGGGUUAAGUCCCGCAACGAGCGCAACCCUUAUCCUUUGUUGCCAGCGGUCCGGCCGGGAACUCAAAGGAGACUGCCAGUGAUAAACUGGAGGAAGGUGGGGAUGACGUCAAGUCAUCAUGGCCCUUACGACCAGGGCUACACACGUGCUACAAUGGCGCAUACAAAGAGAAGCGGCCUCGCGAGAGCAAGCG